RNAcentral lists this long non-coding RNA (477 nucleotides) under Lathyrus oleraceus (garden pea). RNAcentral describes it as "Pisum sativum (pea) long non-coding RNA (PSAT_LNC036536)". The record is from RNAcentral. Lineage: Eukaryota; Viridiplantae; Streptophyta; Magnoliopsida; Fabales; Fabaceae.
UGGUUUGGAGUCUCGUACUAGCCUCGCCCUAUCUAAAACAAAAAGGCGGAUGGAAGAUGGACGACCUUCUUUCUUAAUGAGCUCUCUCGCUUGACUUUAUCGGUAUAGCAUUUCUUGCUAGAUUGGAUUGAGAGUGACUUCUUCCCUUCCUCUGUUUAUGUUUUCAAACAUUUCAUCGGUGUCGACAUUUUCUUCAUGUCAGCCAGUGUAGGCUUGCUCCGCACACAAAGGCUACAUCUGGGCCUUUCAUUGAUUUGACUUUUCCAUUCAUUUUUGAAUCCCUUCCUUCACUCCGGGCACGCUGUUUAGAUUUAUUUCGGUUGCCAAUGAAAUGGAAUAUGGGGAACUCUCUGUCUAAGUGGUUAAUCCGACGAGUCAAUUCUCAAUGUUAUGUUGCUAUCCUUUCGACGAUCCUACUUCUGAUGUCCCCCCCGCCUCUCCCUCCCAGUACCGUUCGACGAUCCUACUUCUGAUGUC